Long non-coding RNA from Anolis carolinensis (green anole), 1357 nucleotides. RefSeq lists it as uncharacterized. The transcript has 2 exons. The record is from RefSeq and is a predicted model, not a curated record. Lineage: Eukaryota; Metazoa; Chordata; Lepidosauria; Squamata; Anolidae.
GAACAUUAACUGAAUGGGGGAAAGAGUUGAUAACAAGAUGUGUGCAGGUUGUAGAACACAAUGGCUUGAAAGGUAUGAGAGAUGCAUAGAUUAAAAAGUAUCGAAAAACAUCUAAUUGUCUCAAAGAAUAAUUUCCUCAUUCAUUCUGAGCAGCUAUUCUGAAAUGUCACCAGAAUAGAAAUGACAUAGUUCAAUUUAUCAAUGGAAAAUCAAGUAUGAAACAACAAUGUGCAUCCCACACCAAAAUGAAGGUAGAAACAUGCCCAGAACAGCUGAAUAAGGAUUGACCACACUUUGUGGGUGUGAAAUGCUAACUGAUGGAAAUGCUAACUAUAGGAAAACUGUGGUUAUAACCCCGUUUUGACAACCAAAGUUGCCCUUUAUAAAGCAUCUAAAAGGAGAUUAGAGUAUAUUGAAUAGAUUAGUAUGCAGUGUAAGGGGGACAAGGACAUCUAAUGUCUGUACUUAAGAUUAAGGUAUAUUUGGUUACAAGUUGGCCACCCCCACUUUCUCUCUGUACUUGUACUUGUAUAUUUAUUGUUUCUGACUCUUUGUGACCUCAUGGACCAGUCCACACCAGAACUCCCUAUUGGCCAUCGCCACUCCCAGCUCCUUCAAGGUCAAGCCAGUCACUUCAAGGAUACCAUCCAUCCACCUUGCCCUUGGUUGGUCCCUCUUCCCUUUUCCUUCCUUUUUCCCCAGCAUCAUUCUCUUCUCCAAGCUUUCCUGUCUUCUCAUUAUGUGGCCAACAUACUUCAUCUUUGUCUCUAACAUCCUUCCUUUCAGUGGGCAGUUGGGCAUUAUUUCCUGGAGUAUGGACUGGUGCGUUGUGUUUAUAUUGUGUGUUAGGAAAAGGCCAAUUGGCUAAUCAAUAAAAAUUGUUUAUCAUUAUAGGAAAACUGGGAAAAUAUGAUAUCAUUAUGUGUGUGAAACUAAACAGAAGUACUUCAUGCUUCAGCAUUUUGUUGCAAGACUCCAUUUGCAACUUCAGCUGAGAUUUCCAACUUGCCAUUGUGGUAGAGUCCUUCAGCAGACCUGGCAAGUCCACCGUUAGACUGACCAUAAGGCAGAGAAGCAACCAGGCAUGGAUAGAAUUCAAGAAAAAUCAGUCCAGAAGAGACCCAGGGCACAUCUACAGUGACUGUUGAAUGCAGCUUGAAGCCGACAUCAAAUGGCAGUAGCUACAAAAAUACAUCCCACCAAAGCUUGCUCAAAGUGCAUCAAGCAGAGUUGGGGAAAGUCUGAGUUAAGCCACUUAAUGCGCUUCAGCAAGACCUAAAUCUAAACCACACUGCAUGACAAAAUUGGCUGUGCCGUUUGAGGCACAAUAAACACUUUUAACUGGAUUUGAAAUAAA